This 69-nucleotide transfer RNA is filed under the name Ictidomys tridecemlineatus (thirteen-lined ground squirrel). RNAcentral's name for it is "Spermophilus tridecemlineatus (thirteen-lined ground squirrel) tRNA". It matches the Rfam family "tRNA". Rfam says of the family: Transfer RNA (tRNA) molecules are approximately 80 nucleotides in length. The record is from Rfam by way of RNAcentral. Lineage: Eukaryota; Metazoa; Chordata; Mammalia; Rodentia; Sciuridae.
GGGGUUGUGGCUCAGUGGUAGAGUACUUGCCUCGAAUUCAUGGGACACUGGGUUCGAUCCUCAGCACCA